UGCUGUGCUUUUGUUGCACAGGAUCACAUAUGUCCAGUCAACUCCUGGAGUUGCAGCUCCUUUGCCAUUGGGUUCAACACCUGCAGUCUCUUCCACCCACCAGACCCCAUCAUCUGCGGGUCCAUCUUUUUUGCGAUCUCCAGUGGCGACCCUUGGCUUCACUGCAAUUGCCCCAGCCAGUCAGGCCUUGGUUCAACCUAUUGUUGCAAGUCAGCCACCUCUCCUGGCUCAAUGCCCGCCCCCGAGUGGACUGGCACAACCUGCACAAGCCUCGACGGCCACUCGUCAACUUGUGACCACCAUUUACCCCAGCGUCAGUUUAGCCAGAGGAGUUGUGUCAGUGACAGCCGUGCCACAAAGCACAGCAAGUUCCACAUCAGUUCCAGCAUCAUCCUCAAUGCCUCAAGAGAAGACCCCCUCAGCCGCGGCUGCGCAACCACACGCGCAGCUGCAGUCUCAGGUAAACAUGCACAUGGAAAAUGAGAGAGGACCAGAAUCUAGGAAGGAGACGGAGAAACAGAGAGACCUGGUGGUGUCAAAGGAUGGACAUCAGACGCCACCUAGUGGUUUGGAGGAAUCGGUGCAGCACACACAUAAAGGUCAGCAUUGUGAAGGGAAGGAGGAUGGAAAGAAAGGGAGCAAAAUGGAGCGAGAGUCUGAGAGAGACGUAGGAGGGGACCCGUCUCAAACAGAGAGAGCUGAGAGAGCAAGAGCGAUGGAAGGGGAGACAGAGAGUCAAGCUGAGAUCAACAGCAAAGACGAGAGUCGAGAGGCAGGACGCAGGGAAGCUUCUGUUUUGGACCCCCCACCACCCCCUUUGCAGACUGACCCCCCUUCAGUUAAAAAGACCAAGUUCCGACCACCUCCACUGAAAAACACCACUGAUGCUGGUGACAAGUGAGUGGCAUUGCCCAUGAUCAGUCGAGAGCAGUUUUUAGUAUACCAUUUAUAGU
This 953-nucleotide long non-coding RNA is filed under the name Sinocyclocheilus anshuiensis. RNAcentral describes it as "lncRNA (ENSSANG00000010784.1)". Lineage: Eukaryota; Metazoa; Chordata; Actinopteri; Cypriniformes; Cyprinidae. The record is from RNAcentral.